Molecule: ribosomal RNA, 522 nt
Filed under: Janthinobacterium sp. 10427
Lineage: Bacteria; Pseudomonadati; Pseudomonadota; Betaproteobacteria; Burkholderiales; Oxalobacteraceae
Description: bacterial SSU rRNA
Rfam family: Bacterial small subunit ribosomal RNA
Source: RNAcentral
UGGAGAGUUUGAUCCUGGCUCAGAUUGAACGCUGGCGGCAUGCCUUACACAUGCAAGUCGAACGGCAGCACGGAGCUUGCUCUGGUGGCGAGUGGCGAACGGGUGAGUAAUAUAUCGGAACGUACCCUAGAGUGGGGGAUAACGUAGCGAAAGUUACGCUAAUACCGCAUACGAUCUAAGGAUGAAAGUGGGGGAUCGCAAGACCUCAUGCUCGUGGAGCGGCCGAUAUCUGAUUAGCUAGUUGGUAGGGUAAAAGCCUACCAAGGCAUCGAUCAGUAGCUGGUCUGAGAGGACGACCAGCCACACUGGAACUGAGACACGGUCCAGACUCCUACGGGAGGCAGCAGUGGGGAAUUUUGGACAAUGGGCGAAAGCCUGAUCCAGCAAUGCCGCGUGAGUGAAGAAGGCCUUCGGGUUGUAAAGCUCUUUUGUCAGGGAAGAAACGGUGAGAGCUAAUAUCUCUUGCUAAUGACGGUACCUGAAGAAUAAGCACCGGCUAACUACGUGCCAGCAGCCGCGGUA